This 253-nucleotide ribosomal RNA is filed under the name uncultured bacterium. RNAcentral's name for it is "partial 16S ribosomal RNA". It matches the Rfam family "Bacterial small subunit ribosomal RNA", at positions 524 to 776 of the family's 1533-position model. The record is from RNAcentral.
UACGUAGGGGGCAAGCGUUGUCCGGAUUUAUUGGGCGUAAAGAGCGUGUAGGCGGCUUUACAGGUCCGUUGUGAAAACUCGAGGCUCAACCUCGAGACGCCGGUGGAAACCGUAAAGCUAGAGUCCGGAAGAGGAGAGUGGAAUUCCUGGUGUAGCGGUGAAAUGCGUAGAUAUCAGGAGGAACACCUGUGGCGAAAGCGGCGCACUGGACCACAACUGACGCUGAGGCGCGAAAGCUAGGGGAGCAAACAGG